This 506-nucleotide ribosomal RNA is filed under the name uncultured bacterium. Its description in RNAcentral is "partial 16S ribosomal RNA". It matches the Rfam family "Bacterial small subunit ribosomal RNA", at positions 29 to 523 of the family's 1533-position model. The record is from RNAcentral.
AGUGAACGCUGGCGGUAGGCCUAACACAUGCAAGUCGAACGGCAGCACAGGAGAGCUUGCUCUCUGGGUGGCGAGUGGCGGACGGGUGAGGAAUACAUCGGAAUCUACUCUGUCGUGGGGGAUAACGUAGGGAAACUUACGCUAAUACCGCAUACGACCUACGGGUGAAAGCAGGGGACCUUCGGGCCUUGCGCGAUUGAAUGAGCCGAUGUCGGAUUAGCUAGUUGGCGGGGUAAAGGCCCACCAAGGCGACGAUCCGUACCUGGUCUGAGAGGAUGAUCAGCCACACUGGAACUGAGACACGGUCCAGACUCCUACGGGAGGCAGCAGUGGGGAAUAAUGGACAAUGGGCGCAAGCCUGAUCCAGCCAUACCGCGUGGGUGAAGAAGGCCUUCGGGUUGUAAAGCCCUUUUGUUGGGAAAGAAAUCCAGCUGGCUAAUACCCGGUUGGGAUGACGGUACCCAAAGAAUAAGCACCGGCUAACUUCGUGCCAGCCGCCGCUGUAA